UGGGGAUAGCUCAGUCAGAAGAGCAUGAGACUCUUAAUUUCAGGGUUGUGGGUUCAAGCCCCACAUUGGGCAAAA
RNAcentral lists this transfer RNA (75 nucleotides) under Podarcis lilfordi (Lilford's wall lizard). RNAcentral's name for it is "tRNA.Lys". The stretch from base 7 to 64 matches the Rfam family "tRNA", at positions 8 to 63 of the family's 71-position model. Rfam says of the family: Transfer RNA (tRNA) molecules are approximately 80 nucleotides in length. The record is from RNAcentral. Lineage: Eukaryota; Metazoa; Chordata; Lepidosauria; Squamata; Lacertidae.